RNAcentral lists this ribosomal RNA (305 nucleotides) under uncultured bacterium. Its description in RNAcentral is "bacterial SSU rRNA". It matches the Rfam family "Bacterial small subunit ribosomal RNA", at positions 338 to 660 of the family's 1533-position model. The record is from RNAcentral.
CCUACGGGAGGCAGCGGUGAGGGAUAUUGGUCAAUGGGGGAAACCCUGAACCAGCAACGCCGCGUGAGGGAAGACGGUUUUCGGAUUGUAAACCUCUGUCCUCUGUGAAGAUGAUGACGGUAGCAGAGGAGGAAGCUCCGGCUAACUACGUGCCAGCAGCCGCGGUAAUACGUAGGGAGCAAGCGUUGUCCGGAUUUACUGGGUGUAAAGGGUGCGUAGGCGGCUUUGCCAGUCCGAAGUGAAAUCCAUGGGCUUAACCACUGAACUGCUUUUGCAACUGCAGAGCUUGAGUGGAGUAGAGGUAG